RNAcentral lists this ribosomal RNA (446 nucleotides) under uncultured Saccharomycetales. Its description in RNAcentral is "eukaryotic LSU rRNA". The stretch from base 391 to 446 matches the Rfam family "Eukaryotic large subunit ribosomal RNA", at positions 1 to 56 of the family's 3401-position model. Lineage: Eukaryota; Fungi; Ascomycota; Saccharomycetes. The record is from RNAcentral.
AUAUAGUCGCGUGAAUCAUCGAAUCUUUGAACGCAAGUUGCGGUAUUCGCAAGAAUACCAUGUUUGGCUGAGGGUUGUUUAAACCAAAAUUGAGGUGUGUUUUCUCUCUCUUCUGUAGAGAGAACUCCCUUUAAAUGAAUUACAUGUUUUUCAUGUGUGCGAAAGCCAUAUGAAAUACUUGAUUGAUUUGAUUUACUUCAAGUCAGUUUGAGUACAAUGGAAAAGAAACACAAAAUGAAGAAGGAAAUUGAAUUCAAUUUUCCAAUUCAAAUUUGCAAGAGUGAGAGGCUUUAUUGCCUCUUGCUUGCUUAAAUAAGCCAAGUUUGUCUUUGGAUUGAUGCGUUCUCUUUCAAUCUCUCAUGUUUUUUCUUCCGCUCAAAACUAAAAACGCAACCUCAGAUCAAGCAAGACUACCCGCUGAACUUAAGCAUAUCAAUAAGCGGAGG